GCACCUGUAGCUCAGCAGGAUAGAGCGUCCGCCUCCUAAGCGGAAGGUCCCGCGUUCGAAUCGCGGCAGGUGCGCCA
Molecule: transfer RNA, 77 nt
Filed under: Christensenellaceae bacterium
Lineage: Bacteria; Bacillati; Bacillota; Clostridia; Christensenellales; Christensenellaceae
Description: tRNA-Arg
Rfam family: tRNA
About the family: Transfer RNA (tRNA) molecules are approximately 80 nucleotides in length. Their secondary structure includes four short double-helical elements and three loops (D, anti-codon, and T loops). Further hydrogen bonds mediate the characteristic L-shaped molecular structure. tRNAs have two regions of fundamental functional importance: the anti-codon, which is responsible for specific mRNA codon recognition, and the 3' end, to which the tRNAs corresponding amino acid is attached (by aminoacyl-tRNA synthetases). tRNAs cope with the degeneracy of the genetic code in two manners: having more than one tRNA (with a specific anti-codon) for a particular amino acid; and 'wobble' base-pairing, i.e. permitting non-standard base-pairing at the 3rd anti-codon position.
Source: RNAcentral